AUUCGCGUGUAGCAGUGAAAUGCAUAGAUAUUACUCAGAAUACCGAUUGCGAAGGCAGAUCACUAACAAUUCACUGACGCUGAUGGACGAAAGCGUAGGUAGCGAACAGGAUUAGAUACCCUGGUAGCCUACGCCGUAAACGACGGUUACUAGCUGUUCGGAUCAAUUGAGAUCUGAGUGGCUAAGCGAAAGUGAUAAGUAACCCACCUGGGGAGUACGUUCGCAAGAAUGAAACUCAAAGGAAUUGACGGGGGCCCGCACAAGCGGUGGAGCAUGUGGUUUAAUUCGAUGAUACGCGAGGAACCUUACCAGGGCUUAAAUGCAGUUUGACAGGGGUGGAAACACCUUUUCCUUCGGGCAAAUUGCAAGGUGCUGCAUGGCUGUCGUCAGCU
RNAcentral lists this ribosomal RNA (392 nucleotides) under uncultured Bacteroidota bacterium. Its description in RNAcentral is "bacterial SSU rRNA". It matches the Rfam family "Bacterial small subunit ribosomal RNA", at positions 666 to 1060 of the family's 1533-position model. Lineage: Bacteria; Pseudomonadati; Bacteroidota. The record is from RNAcentral.